This 452-nucleotide ribosomal RNA is filed under the name uncultured bacterium. RNAcentral's name for it is "bacterial SSU rRNA". It matches the Rfam family "Bacterial small subunit ribosomal RNA", at positions 31 to 518 of the family's 1533-position model. The record is from RNAcentral.
GGAACGCUACGGCGUGCUACACUUGACAGUCGAACGGAAAAGAGUAACAUCUUUUCAGUGGCGGACGGGUGAUAAUGUGAGAAUUUGCCCUUAUGGCAGAGGAUAACAAUUAGAAAUAAUUGCUAAAACUCUAUAUGUUGGAAACAAUGAAAAAAGAAAUUUGCCUAAGGAGAAGCUCACAUUUGAUUAGCUAGUUGGUAGGGUAAGAGCCUACCAAGGCGACGAUCAAUAGUUGGUCUGAGAGGACGAUCAGCCACACUGGAACUGAGACACGGUCCAGACUCCUACGGGAGUGCAGCAGUGAGGAAUAUUCCUGCAAUGGGCGAAAGCCUGACGGAGCAACGCCUGAGUGAGGGAUGAAGGCCUACGGGUUGUAAACCUCUUUUUCCAAGGUCGGAAAGAUCUGACGUUCACUUGGCGACUAACAUCCCCAACCCAGAGCCACGAGCCGC